GAUGAACGCUAGCGGGAGGCUUAAUACAUGCAAGUCGAGGGGUAACAGCAGAGCUUGCUCUGGCUGACGACCGGCGCACGGGUGAGUAACGCGUACACGACCUACCUUAUACAGAGGGAUAGCCCUGGGAAACUGGGAGUAAUACCUCAUAGUAAUGUGAGUAAUAAAGGUUCACAUUUAAAGUUCCGGCGGUAUAAGAUGGGUGUGCGUUAGAUUAGCUAGUUGGUAAGGUAACGGCUUACCAAGGCGACGAUCUAUAGGGGGCGUGAGAGCGUGGACCCCCACACGGGUACUGAGACACGGACCCGACUCCUACGGGAGGCAGCAGUAAGGAAUAUUGGACAAUGGGGGCAACCCUGAUCCAGCCAUCCUGCGUGCAGGAAGACGGCCCUAUGGGUUGUAAACUGCUUUUAAAUAGGAAGAAAAUGUUUCAUUUAUGAGACACUGACGGUACUAUAAGAAUAAGCACCGGCUAACUCCG
Molecule: ribosomal RNA, 481 nt
Filed under: uncultured Saprospiraceae bacterium
Lineage: Bacteria; Pseudomonadati; Bacteroidota; Saprospiria; Saprospirales; Saprospiraceae
Description: bacterial SSU rRNA
Rfam family: Bacterial small subunit ribosomal RNA
Source: RNAcentral